GGGAACGUCUGGGUGGCGGUCUGGGGUGCCGGCGAGGUCCGUGCCUUCGCCCCGGACGGGGCCCUCCUCACGGUGGUCGAGGUCCCCACCUCGCACGUCUCCA
Molecule: transfer RNA, 103 nt
Filed under: Streptomyces omiyaensis
Lineage: Bacteria; Bacillati; Actinomycetota; Actinomycetes; Kitasatosporales; Streptomycetaceae
Description: tRNA-Thr
Source: RNAcentral